UUAGAGGAAGUAAAAGUCGUAACAAGGUUUCCGUAGGUGAACCUGCGGAAGGAUCAUUAAAGAAUCGCCCCGUUUUUUGAAAUGGGUUCUAUUCCCAAACCGUGUAUACAUACCUUUGUUGCUUUGGUAGGCCGCCUUUUAGGCGUCGGCUCCGGCUGACUGCGCCUGCCAGAGGACCCAAACUCUUUUGUUUAGUGAUGUCUGAGUACUAUAUAAUAGUUAAAACUUUCAACAACGGAUCUCUUGGUUCUGGCAUCGAUGAAGAACGCAGCGAAAUGCGAUAAGUAAUGUGAAUUGCAGAAUUCAGUGAAUCAUCGAAUCUUUGAACGCACAUUGCGCCCCUUGGUAUUCCGAGGGGCAUGCCUGUUCGAGCGUCAUUAUAACCACUCAAGCCUCGGCUUGGUCUUGGGGUUCGCGGUCUCGCGGCCCUUAAAAUCAGUGGCGGUGCCGUCUGGCUCUGAGCGUAGUAAUUUUCUCGCUAUAGGGUCCAGGUGACCACCUGCCAAAACCCCCCAUUCUUUACGGUUGACCUCGGAUCAGGUAGGGAUACCCGCUGAACUUAAGCAUAUCAAUA
This 574-nucleotide ribosomal RNA is filed under the name uncultured Hebeloma. Its description in RNAcentral is "eukaryotic LSU rRNA". The stretch from base 224 to 377 matches the Rfam family "5.8S ribosomal RNA". Lineage: Eukaryota; Fungi; Basidiomycota; Agaricomycetes; Agaricales; Cortinariaceae. The record is from RNAcentral.